Long non-coding RNA from Eriocheir sinensis (Chinese mitten crab), 4741 nucleotides. RefSeq lists it as uncharacterized. NCBI's taxonomy places the organism in Eukaryota, Metazoa, Arthropoda, Malacostraca, Decapoda, Varunidae. The record is from RefSeq and is a predicted model, not a curated record. The transcript has 3 exons.
CUGAAUGAUUGUGGUUGACAGACACUGUGAGGCUGAAUGAUUGUGGUUGACAAACACUGUGAGGCAGAAUGAUUGUGGUUGACAGACACUGUGAGGCUGAAUGGUUGUGGUUGACAGACACUGUGAGGCAGAAUGAUUGUGGUUGACAAACACUGUGAGGCAGAAUGAUUGUGGUUGACAGACACUGUGAGGCAGAAUGAUUGUGGUUGACAGACACUGUGAGGCAGAAUGAUUGUGGUUGACAGACACUGUGAGGCUGAAUGAUUGUGGUUGACAGACACUGUGAGGCUGAAUGAUUGUGGUUGACAAACACUGUGAGGCUGAAUGAUUGUGGUUGACAGACACUGUGAGGCUGAAUGAUUGUGGUUGACAGACACUGUGAGGCUGAAUGAUUGUGGUUGACAAACACUGUGAGGCUGAAUGAUUGUGGUUGACAGACACUGUGAGGCAGAAUGAUUGUGGUUGACAAACACUGUGAGGCUGAAUGAUUGUGGUUGACAGACACUGUGAGGCUGAAUGAUUGUGGUUGACAAACACUGUGAGGCAGAAUGAUUGUGGUUGACAGACACUGUGAGGCAGAAUGAUUGUGGUUGACAGACACUGUGAGGCUGAAUGAUUGUGGUUGACAGACACUGUGAGGCAGAAUGAUUGUGGUUGACAGACACUGUGAGGCUGAAUGAUUGUGGUUGACAGACACUGUGAGGCAGAAUGAUUAUGGUUGACAGACACUGUGAGGCAGAAUGAUUAUGGUUGACGAAACGAAAGUGAACGAAAUGAAACGAAAUGAACGGGCACGGAUUUGUACCUCCAGGCCGCGGCGGACAACCCAGGGCCCGGCGGCGGCGACGACGCCCUGCUGGGGACGCCCGCUCCAGGGGGGGCCAGGGGUCACGCCCUAAAGGGGGGCCCUAGGGGGGCCACGUCCUAAAGGGGGGCCCCAGGGGGAGCCACGCCCAGAAGGGGGGCCCUAGGGGGGCCACGUCCUAAAGGGAGGCCCUAGGGGGGCCACGUCCUAAAGGGGGGCCCUCCAGGGGGGCCACGCCCUAAUGAUGGAUCCUCCAGGGGGGCCACGCCCUAAUGGGGGGUCCUCCAGGGGGGCCACGCCCUAAUGGGGGGUCCUCCAGGGGGGCCACGCCCUAAUGGGGGGUCCUCCAGGGGGGCCACGCCCUAAUGAUGGAUCCUCCAGGGGGGCCACGCCCUAAUGGGGGGUCCUCCAUGGGGGCCACGCCCUAAUGGAGGGUCCUCCAGGGGGGCCACGCCCUAAAGGGGGGUCCUCCAGGGGGGCCACGCCCUUAUGGGGGAUCCUCCAGGGGGGCCACGCCCUAAUGGGGGGUCCUCCAGGGGGGCCACGCCCUAAUGGGGGAUCCUCCAGGGGGCCACGCCCUAAUGGAGGGUCCUCCAGGGGGGCCACGCCCUUAUGGGGGAUCCUCCAGGGGGGCCACGCCCUAAUGGGGGGUCCUCCAGGGGGGCCACGCCCUAAUGGGGGGUCCUCCACGGGGGCCACGCCCUAAUGGGGGAUCCUCCAGGGGGGCCACGCCCUAAUGGGGGAUCCUCCAGGGGGGCCACGCCUUCGACGGGGCUCCCCCAGCCAGGGGCCGCCACCUCCGCCGUGCUCUAGCGUUGCCGCCUGGUGCCUGGACGUCCUAAUCCUCGUCCUCCAGGAUGAGGUCCUGGAGGGAGGCCUCAAUAGCGGCCUGUACUUUAGCAGCCUCCUUGCGGAGGGUCUCCUCCAGGAUGAGGUCCUGGAGGGAGGCCUCAAUAGCGGCCUGUACUUUAGCAGCCUCCUUGCGGAGGGUCUCCUCCAGGAUGAGGUCCUGGAGGGAGGCCUCAAUAGCGGCCUGUACUUUAGCAGCCUCCUUGCGGAGGGUCUCCUCCAGGAUGAGGUCCUGGAGGGAGGCCUCAAUAGCGGCCUGUACUUUAGCAGCCUCCUGGCGGAGGGUCUCCUCCAGGAUGAGGUCCUGGAGGGAGGCCUCAAUAGCGGCCUGUACUUUAGCAGCCUCCUUGCGGAGGGUCUCCUCCAGGAUGAGGUCCUGGAGGGAGGCCUCAAUAGCGGCCACGACUUUGUCAGCCUCCUGGCGGAGGGUGACAAAGUCGUUCUCGUGAGCGCCGGCAACGGGCUCCUCCCGUCGGUGUCCAGGAGACACCUGAGCUGCGACGUUGUGGGUGAAAGUGUUCAUCGUCAUUUAAUACUUCUCGGAGUAUUUAAAAAAAAAAGAUGCAUUUCGCGAGGCACACGUCUUGUUCAUUACUGGGAUGGUGUCCAGCCCCCCCUCCAACACACACACGCACACACACACACACACACACACACACACACACACACACGCACACACACACACACACACACACACACACACACACACACACACACACACACACACACACACACACACACACACACACACACACACACACACACACGCACACACACACACGGGUGAAGUGAACAAAAAACACAUGUUACCUUCAGACAGAGGUGAACAAAACAAUCAAGACUCACUCCCUUCACUCCCCUCUUCCCUCCCCUCUCUCCUCCCCUCACCCCCCCUUCCCUCCCUCACCUCCCUAAAGAGACAGGUGCGAGGAUUGAUUCACCUUUCUAGAUCGGAGUGUUGCAACAGAAGAACAGAAAGUAAUAGACGCAACAGCAAAGCCACGUGGAAGACUAUAAGAGAACUGAUUCCCUAUAACAAAAACACUGAUAAAGUUAACAAUGACAAAAAGAAUCAGACAGCUAAUUAUUUUAACAUUUUCUUUGGUAAUGAUGGAAAGGACACGUUUAAUUAACCGUGUAGCAGCGACGGGCCAAAUUUGUGGCGUUACCGUACCGGCGGCGGGCCAAAUUUGUGCCAUGAUAUAACCCCCAAAAAUAGAUGAUGCAUAAACUGAUCACAAAUGCGUUGAUAUAUAUUAUGAAAUGGUUUGCGUAAGUGAGGCUUUUUUCACAUUUUCUCGCUUGGAGGGGCCUUUAAGAAACAUGGUCCAAGCAGCUGCCGGGCUAAGUCAGAUAACGUCAGCGAGCCAUGCAGCAACCGUCCCGUGUCUCUCCUCCACGUUCUGUCUAAAGCUCCAGAAAAAAAUAUCAUCCCACUCCUCUUAACUCUUUUUAUAGGAGCAGUGACUUGCGGGCUUUUUUAUUGUUUUUUUUUCCCUUGAACUGUUUCCUUUACUGUAAAAAUAAUUCCAGUUAACUCAAUACCUUGAAAAAAAAAAUAAUAACUUGCUUAGCAAAACUCAACAUGGCUUCCGGUCAUAUCUAUCGAGCACCUCUGUUCUGUUAACUCUGGCUAACAAUAUAUAUGCAAAUAUGGACAAUAAGAAAGUUUCCUUCGUUACUCUCUGCGACUUGUCAGGAGCAUUUGACGGCGUUUGCCACACAAUAUUACUUGACAAGUGCCUUAACUUAAAGACUGAUUCUUUCUGGUUUCACAGCGACCUCACUGAAAGGACACGAUCGGUGCGCAUAAACAGUACGAUGUCUGGCAAAACAAACAUUUCGUAUGGUAUGGUACUCAGUGCUUGGUCCCUUUCUGUUUAUCAUAUUUGUAAAGGAUCUUUCGUGUUUCUUACCAAAUUGUGAAAUCAUUCAGUGCGCAGAUGACACAGUUUAUCCAAGUGUGUGGCAGCCUGAACUACUGCCGUGCUAUACAAGGCCGUGAUCUCUGCAGUAUUUUACUUUAAGGACUAGUAUUUACUCUAUCUCUGUAUUCAUUCCCAUCUAGUGCUUGGGCAAUGUUCUCCGUCCCCACAUUUUAUUGUCUUAUUGUCCAGGGGGAGGUACCGCCCCCUCCCUUGUUGUGCUUUCCUUCCUACCAUUGUAUCUUUUUAGUUUCAUGGUGCUGCCUACACAUGUAUUAAUAGUUGUAUAAUCACACUCUGUCCUGCCUGGGGGUUGGGAUGGCAUGCUCCUCCCUUCUCCCUUGUUGUUUACCCGCAACAAUAAACUAUCAAUCAAUCAAUCCACACAGGCAAUAGACGAUCUAAAUAAUUUGGUGCACAGAAGCGAAGAAACCGUAAAAUUAGCAAAAAAGAAAAUAUUUUCACAAGCAUGGUCUAAUGCUCAGUGCCAAAAAGACGCAAUGUAUGUUUAUAGGGAGCCAAAAAGACGCAAUGUAUGUUUAUAGGGAGCCAAAAAGACGCAAUGUAUGUUUAUAGGGAGCCAAAAAGACGCAAUGUAUGUUUAUAGGGAGCCAAAAAGACGCAAUGUAUGUUUAUAGGGAGCCAAAAAGACGCAACGUAUGGUUAUAGGGAGCCAAAAAGACGCAAUGUAUGUUUAUAGGGAGCCAAAAAGACGCAAUGUAUGUUUAUAGGGAGCCAAAAAGACGCAAUGUAUGUUUAUAGGGAGCCAAAAAGACGCAAUGUAUGGUUAUAGGGAGCCAAAAAGACGCAAUGUAUGUUUAUAGGGAGCCAAAAAGACGCAAUGUAUGGUUAUAGGGAGCCAAAAAGACGCAAUGUAUGGUUAUAGGGAGCAGGGGCGCCUGUCAAUGGCUCCACCCGACGGUCGCGUGCAGGUGCCGGCAGCGUGAUCACCGCCGUGCGUCCCUCGAGGGCCUGGGUGUGCGCCUCGAUGACCGCUUACUGUUUGAUACAUCGCAGAAAUAAGUAGGGAAGUAUAUGGAGCAUUAAUGUAUGCGAAUAGAUUAAGGGAUCAUUUUAACAAACACGCAAGGAUUACUGUUACGCAAUCACUAGUCAUGAGCAAUAUUGAUUACUUUUUCCUCUUUCCUACAUAAUUUCCAUG